CCUUUGGUAUCUUUCGUCCCUCUUUUAUGGCUUUCAACUAUGAUCAAAAUCCCUACUGUAUAACAGUUAUAAAAGGCCCUAACAUGACAAGUGUAAAUAAUUUGAAAUGAGAAUACCAAUGGCCAGAUUUAUGGCAAAACAAUAAAUGAAAAGAAAAUAUGAGACAUACUAAUCAAAUUAAAGUCAACCCCUAAAUUAAGAUCCUGAAUUGGCACAUACACAUAAAUGUAAUUGGGUAGCGUUCAACAUGUAUGGGAGUGCUCAACCCUUUCUCUAACCUUGAACAGCAGUAGAAUAUUACAACAUGAAGAUAAACUGAAAUCAGUUGGAAUGUGUCAACUUAUUAGACUGGC
RNAcentral lists this long non-coding RNA (353 nucleotides) under Mytilus galloprovincialis (Mediterranean mussel). Lineage: Eukaryota; Metazoa; Mollusca; Bivalvia; Mytilida; Mytilidae. The record is from RNAcentral.